ACCACCAAGAUUAACUCAAAAGUAUAGAUAAUUUAGCAUUAAAUGAAUAACAAAACUAAAUCAUUUUUCCACCUUAGUACGGGAGACGGAAAAGGUAAUUUAAGCAAUAGAGAAAGUACCGCAAGGGAAAGCUGAAAGAGUAAUGAAAUAAUUCAUUUAAGCACAAAAAAGCAGAGCUUAACCCUUGUACCUUUUGCAUCAUGAUUUAGCCAGCACUACUCAAGCAAAGUGACCUUUAGUUUGAAACCCCGAAACCAAGUGAGCUACCCCGGGACAGCCUUAAAGGACGAACCCGUCUCUGUGGCAAAAGAGUGGGAAGAGCCCCGGGUAGAGGUGAUAAACCUACCGAACUUGGUGAUAGCUGGUUGCCUGAGAAAUGAAUAGAAGUUCAGCCUCGUAUCCCUUUAGCCAACCAAGAAAUAUCUGAAUAAGCACAAAAGAGAAAUACGAGAGUUAGUUGAAGGGGGUACAGCCCCUUUAAUAAAGGACACAACCUUAAAUAGGUGGAUAAGAGUCACACUUUAUAAAACUAGUUGUUCCAGUGGGCCUAAAAGCAGCCAUCUGAGUAGAAAGCGUUAAAGCUUAAACAACAUGCAGUUUAUUAUACUGAUAAAUAACCCAACUCCCCUAAAAAUAUCAGGCCAUUCCAUGCCACCAUGGAAGAGACCAUGCUAAAAUGAGUAAUAGGAGGAUAUGAUCCUCUCCUAGCACAAGUGUAAGCCAGAUCGGACAAACCACUGGAAAUUAACGAGCCCAGAAAAAGAGGGUAAUGUGGCCAACAAAAAAAUCAGGAAAAUACCACAGCAUUUAUAUCGUUAAACCCACACUGGAGUGCCUCCAAGGAAAGACUAAAAGAAGGGGAAGGAACUCGGCAAACACAAGCCUCGCCUGUUUACCAAAAACAUCGCCUCCUGCAAAUCCCUACGUAUAGGAGGUCCAGCCUGCCCGGUGACUACAAGUUUAACGGCCGCGGUAUUUUGACCGUGCAAAGGUAGCGCAAUCACUUGUCUUUUAAAUGAAGACCUGUAUGAAUGGCUAAACGAGGGCUUAGCUGUCUCCCUUUUCAAGUCAGUGAAAUUGAUCUACCCGUGCAG
RNAcentral lists this ribosomal RNA (1094 nucleotides) under Triplophysa robusta. RNAcentral describes it as "partial large subunit ribosomal RNA". It matches the Rfam family "Bacterial large subunit ribosomal RNA", at positions 144 to 2058 of the family's 2925-position model. Lineage: Eukaryota; Metazoa; Chordata; Actinopteri; Cypriniformes; Nemacheilidae. The record is from RNAcentral.